UAAUACGAAGGGUGCAAGCGUUACUCGGAAUUACUGGGCGUAAAGCGUGCGCAGGCGGUUCGUUAAGUCUGCUGUGAAAGCCCUGGGCUCAACCUGGGAAUGGCAGUGGAUACUGGCGAGCUAGAGUACGGUAGAGGAAGGUGGAAUUCCCGGUGUAGCGGUGAAAUGCGUAGAGAUCGGGAGGAACACCAGUGGCGAAGGCGACCUUCUGGACCAGUACUGACGCUCAUGCACGAAAGCGUGGGGAGCAAACAGGAUUAGAUACCCUGGUAGUCCACGCCCUAAACGAUGCGAACUGGAUGUUGGGCACACUUUGGUGCUCAGUGUCGAAGCUAACGCGUUAAGUUCGCCGCCUGGGGAGUACGGUCGCAAGACUGAAACUCAAAUGAAUUGACGG
Molecule: ribosomal RNA, 397 nt
Filed under: uncultured bacterium
Lineage: Bacteria
Description: bacterial SSU rRNA
Rfam family: Bacterial small subunit ribosomal RNA
Source: RNAcentral